RNAcentral lists this long non-coding RNA (695 nucleotides) under Marmota monax (woodchuck). The record is from RNAcentral. Lineage: Eukaryota; Metazoa; Chordata; Mammalia; Rodentia; Sciuridae.
CCAUAUGACUUUUUUAAAAAACCAUAUGAUUUUUUUAAAAAACAAGGUUCUAGAUUAUAACAAUGAAAAGAGUGCAUUUCCUGGGCUACUUAUUCAGUAUAGUGAGCACUUUUCACCUUAUGUAUCCAAUUCCUUAUUUCAGACUUGCAGGCUCCUGUGGGAGCUGGUCCCACCCUUCUUCAAUUCAGCACCACAUGACCAAGGAUUAAUGUUUUCAUUCACUCUGCCUUUUCUUACAUUCCUCAACCAUGUAAAAAUCUCUUCCAGCUUAGUGCCUUUGAUCUAUGUAUGCAUCAGAAAUCUUGGAUCUCACUUCAGAUCCCUUCUGCCCUGCCUUCUACUCCAGCUGCUACUGUGGCCACUACUUCUAUGAAGUCUUUGACCAGGUUCUCAGAAUGUAAUAGCUAGCGCUUCCCUUUGGAUUCUGCUACAUGCCUUUUGCUUUGGCUUCACUGUUGUCAAAUGCCUAAUUUUAUAACACAGAAGUACAAGGGAGUUAGUUGCCCAUGGGACACCCUUGACCAACAAUGGAAAGUUGCCGAUGGAUGAUUCCUCCUCUCGUUCCCUGGGUAGAUGAUUCUGAAACACAUUUCAUAAAGCUCCUCAGAAGAUCCUACAGAAUCAACUACCAGUUGCCUAUGGCCAAUUUUGGAAUGAACAUUCUUAUGUUGUCUUUCCUCUUUGGUUUUACUCUC